GUCUACGGCCAUGCUACCCUGAACAAGCCCGAUCCUUUCUGAUCUCAGAAGCUAAGCAGGGUCAGGCCUGGUUAGUACUUAAAUGGGAGACCACCUAGGAAGACCAGUUGCUGUAGGCA
Molecule: ribosomal RNA, 119 nt
Filed under: Pteropus alecto (black flying fox)
Lineage: Eukaryota; Metazoa; Chordata; Mammalia; Chiroptera; Pteropodidae
Source: RNAcentral